UAGGGAAUAUUGCACAAUGGGGGAAACCCUGAUGCAGCGACGCCGCGUGAGUGAUGAAGGCCUUCGGGUCGUAAACCCCUGUCGAAUGGGACGAAAGACUCGCGAGUGAAUACUUCGCGAGAGUGACGGUACCGUUAAAGGAAGCCACGGCUAACUCUGUGCCAGCAGCCGCGGUAAUACAGAGGUGGCAAGCGUUGUUCGGAAUUACUGGGCGUAAGGGGCGCGUAGGCGGCCCUCUAAGUCAGACGUGAAAUCCCCCGGCUUAACCUGGGAACUGCGUCUGAUACUGGAGGGCUUGAGUAUGGGAGAGGGAUGUAGAAUUCCAGGUGUAGCGGUGAAAUGCGUAGAUAUCUGGAGGAAUACCGGUGGCGAAGGCGGCAUCCUGGACCAUUACUGACGCUGAGGCGCGAAAGCUAGGGGAGCAAACGGGAUUAGAUACCCCCGUAGUCCCUGAGCGGGCUGGCAAGGCGCAU
RNAcentral lists this ribosomal RNA (473 nucleotides) under uncultured bacterium. Its description in RNAcentral is "bacterial SSU rRNA". It matches the Rfam family "Bacterial small subunit ribosomal RNA", at positions 355 to 825 of the family's 1533-position model. The record is from RNAcentral.